UAGCUUAGUUGGUAAGGCGCCCGACUCUCAACCCAGAGGUCGGGGGUUCGAUUCCCGCUAAG
Molecule: transfer RNA, 62 nt
Filed under: Pseudopedinella elastica
Lineage: Eukaryota; Dictyochophyceae; Pedinellales
Source: RNAcentral